RNAcentral lists this long non-coding RNA (14384 nucleotides) under Phoenix dactylifera (date palm). RNAcentral's name for it is "long non-coding RNA (PDAC_LNC003429)". Lineage: Eukaryota; Viridiplantae; Streptophyta; Magnoliopsida; Arecales; Arecaceae. The record is from RNAcentral.
UUGAACUGUUAUCUUGAACAUUUAUUAUGGUUGUUGGACAUUGCAAGAUUUUGUUAUUUUAAGAACUAAGUUUGCAUGUUGCUAAAUUAUUGUUCCACUGCGUAUUUAGAGCUGUAAGACCUUAUGACUUAAGUUAGUCAAUGGAAUAAGAUUGUAUUUAUUUAGUUGAAUUAUUUUAUAUUUAUAAAAUUGAGAUGUUUGGUUAAGAUGCCUUGCAUGCUCGUGAGGAGAGUUUCCUACGGCGGUUGGCACGACCCCGGCUCAUAAUUUCGGGCCGGGGGCAUGACAACUUAAGUGGUAUCAGAGCGGAGUUGAUAAAAUCUAAGACAAAGAAUCAGACACGAUAUGAGUGUAGGUGGGUAGACACUAGGGACAUUGGGAUGUUAGGUGUGAAGAAUGUGAUGACUAUUCUAAAAACUUACAAUUAAUUUGGUAAGCUUUUUAUUAAUUGUAAGUUUUUUAUGAGUAUGCUGUUAUUUGAUGCAUAUAGGUCAGGAUGCCUCCACGUCGGGCGAAAAAGACAAGUUUUCAAACUUUGUUCUCCUUAAACUACUGCAAUUUAAUUUGUCUUGUCAUUCUACCUUCUAGCAGCAGCAUCCUAGUAGUGAAAGUCCUUUAAGAUUCAAGGUAAUAGAACCCAUAUUACUCCACACUCACAUAUCAAAUCUCUAUCCCUUCCAAUUAGAAACCAGUGGCAUGUCUGUGCAUUCAUCUAGCCAACCCUUUGGUGGUUUUCCUCAUUCUCAAGGGAAACACUAUAAUGAAUGCUUAUUGAGAACAUCUAGAACACUCCAUUUAUAUUACAAUCUUUUCAAAAGACUUGGUGUUUUUAAGCUGCUUUUGAAUCUAGUGAUUACUGAAGCAACCACGAAGAGAUACUAAUUUAUGUUAUUUUGUAAGAAAGGUAAGGUAUUGUUCAAGGAUCACCGAACCGGUACCGGUCGGCGCCAGUACCGGUUCGAACUGGUUUGAACCGGUACCGAACCGGCCACAACGCGCGCGGUGGGUGCGAACGCGCGCGGCGAGCGCAAGCGCGCUCGGUUGUGGCAUUUAAUAAUGCCACUGUAGCUACAAUGGCAUUAAAAGCCACAGCACGCGCGCAGCGCGCUCUGAAAACCAAACUCGGUGCCAGUUCGCACCGAGUCCUGGUGUACCGGUUAUUGUUACAAUAUAGAAUAUUUUACAUUGUAAGUAGGUUUUAUGAAAGAGUUAAGAGAUAUAUAGCUUUGGUUAAGCUCCAUCCAAUCAAAUGGCCUUUGUUAAUAAUGGAUCAAUAUAAUUGAUAUUUUGACUGAUGAUGGUCUCACCUUGGAAUUCGAAUGAGUCUCCGAUAGUGACAAUUUCAUAUAAAGGCUUAAGAAAGAAUGCAACUUCAUGUUAACUACUAGGUUUAGCAGUUUAGGUGGGUCUUGCAAGCACAAAUGGAACCUAUUAGACUAGACAAAAUAGGGAAAACAUCAAAUUAUAAGGAAAUCCAAUCAUGUACAGGGAAUCUAACAAAUUGGUAAUUUUUGGACAUGAAAAACAAGAAAAAGAAUUUGCUCAAUAAAGAAAUCAAGAGAAAAGACUAGGCAACAAGCACAUUAGGCCAAAACAAGCAAAAGUGAAAUCUAAUUGGCAUCAAUAGGGUAAACAAAUUGUGGUAUUAAAAGGAUUUUAAUGUUCAUGAGCAAUAUAUACUUGUCUAAGAAAAGAGACACAACAUACAAAGGAAUGGAUUAGGGAAAAACAGUCCUAAGAUGGAUCGAGGCCCAUUUAAGUAGAUAUUAAUUGUAGCAGGUUGAUUAAACAGAAAUAUUGUCGUAGUAGGAUGCCAAAAUUGAUACCAUAUUUAUAUGGAGAAUAUGGAAUGGAAACGUAAUUUGGAAGACCCUAGAAUGUGGUUCAUCCUCAAAUAGAUGAAAAGCAAUGUCCUACAAAACUAAUUUCGAUGACAAUUCAAAGGUUCAAAUCUCACAAUUAUGGCAUUUGUGCAUAAACUUGGGAUCUCUUUUCAAAAUUCACACAUAAAAUACAAAACAAAACUAGAAAAGAAAUCGGCCACCUUCAGCAGUUACUUGCAACAAGAUUACUGAGUUAAAUUAACUAUUCAAGAACCAUCACUAGCAAGAAUCUGGUUCAGUCAAAAAGAUCCAAUCCAGUUACAAGAUAUAAAUAAUGCCAAAUCUACUGCCAAAAACUUUCAUUAUGGUCCUAAAUCUUCAGUUCUGAGCCUCUCAUCUCAUGAGACUUGAGAAGUCAGUCUAUAAAUGAACGUGCCUCUUAUAAGGGCAUUAAGCGAAUAUAUUUCUAAUGAGCAAGGCAAUAUAAGAUGGCCCUAUGCCUACACAUCUUUCAAAAAGCAUGAUCUAAGGACUUAUAAACAAAUGACAAGGAAAACAAAAGAAAGACAACAUGAAGACGGUAUAAUGAAGAUAUAUAUGCAAUAGUGCAUAAAUAUUAAUUUUUGUACUAAUUGAUUAUCUUAAACAGGGAAUAUAGGUGAUGGAAAGUUUAUUUAAUUCACUGGAAAGAACGUCAAAUUAUUGGCAAAGUCCCACAGAUAAGCUUCAUCAUAUUAACACCAGUUCACCACCAUAAGUAAUAAAAGAUUAUGAAGGUACAAAUAACACAUAAUCAAACAAGUAUACACCCAAUCUCUACAAAUAUGGUAUGCAUUUCAAAUUGUUCAUACAAAAUUACUAACUAAAGGAAUAAAUAUAAAACACAAAAAAUUAUAAGGUUAUUGCCAUCACCAAUAAAUUACUUCAUCUAACCAAUCUUGGUCACUAUUUAUGUCUAUAUCCUUGGAGAAGCGCUCCUCCUAUACAAGUGUUCAAGUAAGAGAGAAGGAAGCGAAGAAAAACUCAAGAUCAAGAUAAAUACCUGCUCAAAAGAACAAAAGAGUAAUCCUCUAGGCCAAUUUCACAUAGACGCCACUACAAAACAGUAAAGUUUGAAUACCAUGCUGUAGAACAACAGUUCAAAUAAAUAAAUGAAUAACAUAUAUUAUCAAAAAUGUUUGCAAACCAUACUUUUUGACGCAUUGCUAUAGCAGCAUCAGGAGCAUCAUUUCUAAGACCACUUUCAAGACCUUUCAUGAUCUGUGACCUUACAGUAGUCAAAGAUUGCAGGGUUCUCAUCAAAAAUUCAACCCCACUACUAUUUCCAAUGAAAUUGUCUGCUUCCUCCAGCUGCUCCAAACUCUAUGACACCAUCAAAAAUUUAUGUUCAUUUACACAAGAGAUGAGAAAUAUAUCUUUAGCCGGCACAUCCGGAACUAAAGGCAGUAUCUGUGAAGAAGAUGUUAAAUAAUAGGCAAAUAUUUUCAUCAUAUACAAAUUCUGCUUUUAUUUUAUCUGAAUCAUCUCACACAUCUCACUUGCAGCAGGCAAUGUGAUUUGAAAUUGACUCCACAUGCUUUGAUAUGAAUUCUAUUAGAUGAUUAUUAAGAUGUGAAGCAUACAGGGUAUAAGUGAUCACUAUUAGAAGAAGAAGCACUCUGACAGCAACAUGGAGACAUUGAAGAACAAAACUGGUGAUCGAAGCUCCAACUUGUGUUCAAAAAGCAGAAUAUAAGAAACCCUCACACCAAAAUCUACGACCAAGCAUCUCAGCAUUUGAACAGUGUCAUAUGGAAAAUGAAUGCAAACAUGAAAAUUGUAGGUUUCCUUUGUGCCUUUUAAAUUUCAUAUCAAUUUGAAGCUUAUGCAUUGUUUUAAAGUUUUCAGAUCUAGUGUAGCUCAUUAUUAUGUUUCUCUGGUUUUCAGAUCUAGAUGCAUGAUUGCUCCAGACUUGGAGAGUGCACUAGUUCUUUUGAAGACACUUUCCAUCAUUAGAGUUUUAGCUAGUCUAGUUAAAAUAUUUUCUUGACAACAAUAAAAAGUUGGAGAAAUGGAUUGACUCCUACAAGAGCAAGUGGCCCAUAUAUUUUAUUUAGUUUAUGUCAGCAAUUAGCAAUUGUUGACUUAUGUCACUUUGGAACUAUUGUAAGAAACAUUUGCAUAAGUUCUUGAUUAAAUAAGUUUUUAAAAAUUAGUAUUGCUUUGAUAUGAUCUGCAGCUUUGCAUGCUUGUAUGAUCCAUUAUACAGGUAUGCAGCAUCUGUCAUGCUCUGGAUUUAGGGUGCGCUCUAGGUUCGGGGCAUGACAGUUGUGGCCGCAGCAAAGCUCUCGCCGGAACUAAGACCUUAUAAUCCUUUAAUUUAUUUUGCUUCCCAUCUUCUCCGGCUUCGAGAUCAUGGAUUCCAGUCAAAUUAUUGCCAUAUUUCAUCAACAAUAGAGAUGCGCAGUUCAAAUUGUAGAUCUAUAUUUUUUGAUAUUGUUGGUUUUCUUUUCUUUUUCUUUUCUUGAGAUCUCCUAUAGUCCUUCCCUGCAUCCAUGUUUGCCCUGGUUUGCCACCGGCGAUGGUCGGCGUUGCGGCAGUUUUCUAAAUGUCCCUUGGUAUGGGGUUGGGUUCUACUCUUUCUUCCUAUUUCAUGCACCACAGGUCGUCAUUCCACCAUCAUUGGGCGACAAGCCUUCCAUCAUGGAAGGUUGUCUCCACCACUAGAUCAUCCCCUAGGUUCCCCUUCCUCUAUUUAAAACUAGAAGAGGAAGCCCUAAGUCAUCCCUAUUUCAUCUUCUCCCACAUUGUCUCACUUUACUUUUCUCUCUCUACUCUCUCUCUCUCUUCCAUGAUUAGUACAAUCCUAGCCAAGCUUUCAUCUCGGAGGACCUAAUUUCCAUGAGGCACUUUUGAUUAUUAGUUCAAUCCUAUGUAGGGUUAAAAAUUUAGGGUCUCUAUUUUAAAAUUUGUCAUGGCUAAAUAUUGAUAAAAAUAUAAUUUUGAAUAUUAGGUUUUGAAAGAGGCUCUCAGGAUUAGUUGGAUUUGCCCAUUCAUUAUUUUCGCAAAGGUAUAUUCAUUUAAAUAAUAUUAUUUUUGACAUCAAAUAAAUUGUUAAUCAAUUGAUAUGUGAAUUAUUUAUUUUAUGAAACCGUUUUGAAUGGAAAAUAAAUACUUAAUUUCAAAGUAAUAUUUUUUGGAAUAUUAAUAUGUUGUUUAUUGAACUUAUAUCAUGUAUGCAUAUUUUGAUUGGAUUAUAGUAUAUCGUUAUUUUAUAAGAAGAGCUUUGAUGCGUAUUGGAUUUAGACUCUCGACUAUAUUCGGGACCCUGCCAAUUGUGGGUUAUGCAUUGGCACCUUGAUUAUUAUUAAGCAUACUAUUCUACUUCUAGCCCCACCAUAUGGUAUAAUUAUGGUAUGUUGACCCAUGCUGUAGGGUAUAAGUAUGGUAUUCGGGCCCACUCCUCAUGGUAUAAGUAUGAUUAUGUUUCUGUUUCUAGCCUAGCCACAGGAUAUAACUGCAGACAUAGUUACAAGCUGCUGAGUUGAAUAUAAUUUAUUUUGAAUCAGAUUUAGAAGUAAGUAUUUGAAUAUUUGAAAGAUAUCGAAUUUGUUGGAUGUGUUUUGAAAAAAAUGAUUAUGUUUUAUAUUCAAUCAUGGUAAUUAGUAUUUAACUAUUAUAUCUUAUGUUAUUACAUAAAUUAUCUAGUUAAGGUAUUCGUUAUCUCUUAUCUCUUCUUUCUUUACAGAUUCAGAUUCUUAGUUGCGAACGCAGGUACCGCUGUACAGUGAGGCUAGAAGUGAGAUUCAAUAAUAUCGACAGAAUUUAGAUUUAGUGUCACUAUUAUUACAAUCUUUUUAUAUGUUUAUUAUUUGAGGUUUAGUUGAUGUAAUACCGUUGAAUUUUAUUGAUUAGUUAGAUUCGUUAAUUAAUUGAAUUUUGCAUUUGAGUGAAUUAAAUAAUUUUCGUUAUGAUGCAUUUGAUAUCAUAUUGGAAUGCCUGGCAUGCUUGAGAGGAGAGUUCUCCUUGAGUAUAUGGCAUUUGCCAUGACCCUGGCUCGCAAUUUCCAUCGAGGCAUGACAAUUGUUAUGGCAUCAGAGCAAUUAAUAUGGUAUCAAAGCAUAAGUGGAUGAAUCAUACCUCAUAAAGUCAAAUAUAAGAUGAGAGUAGGCCAAUAGAUACUAGGAACAUUGGGACGUCACUUUAUGAUGAUUUCAGCACAAGCUAUCUUAAUAAUUCUUCCAAUUAAUUAAUAAUUUUAAUAAGAAUUUUGCUACUAUCUGAUGAAUAUAGCAAAGUCCACAAUCUCAGUUCUGAGUACCAUAUCGGUACGUUAUUGGUUCGGUAUGGUUUAAUAUGGUAUGGUACACCUCUGUACCAAAUCAGCUCUCUAGUCAUUUUUUUCAAUUUUUAUCUCAAUACACCUCAGUCCAGUACGCUUCGAUAUGGGACGGUACGUACCUUAGUACGCCUCAGUACAGGUCGGUACACCUCGGUAUGGGACAAUAUGCCUCGGUACGGGGCGGUACACCUCGGUAUGAAAUGGUCAGGGCUUGUACCGACUUGAAGUUUAAUUUCAUACUGAUUUCCUCCUGGUACAGUAUGGGGCGAUAUGGGAAACCACAAAAUAUAGGUUAAAAUGUCUCCACGUUAGAUGAAAAAGGAUGCCAAAAAUGCUGCUAGAGAGGCAUCAAUCCAGCAAUUUGGUGACAACCCCCAGCAUGUCGGUGGCACACCACUAUAGGAGGGAGCCAUUGAUCUUCCCAGAAACAGUGAGUCAGAGCAGCAAGAAUCCGGUAUGACCCAACUAAUGCAAAUAUUAGUUGGAAAUUUGGAAUAAUGCAAACGCGACAGCAAUUGCAACAACAACUGCUACAACAGCAGCAAAGGCAACAACAUAUGCAAACAUAGCCACAACAAGGACAUGGGAGCAGUGACGUAACAAUAUUCGGGAGUCUAAGAAGCCGGCCCACAGGCUUUCAAGGGAGCUACAGAACCUUUGGAAGUUGAAAGUUGACUUAAGUAGAUGAAACAAGCAUUUGUUGUUCAAAGAUGCCAUGAUAAUGAAAAGAUCCUAUAUGCAUCAUAUAUGUUACAGGGUGAGGCAUUUAACCGGUAGCAGAUGCUAAAACGCAAAUAUAAACAAGAUAGAGAGCCACUCACUUGGGUAAGAUUCCGAGGAGCAUUUUAUGGCAAGCAUUUCCCUUGAAGCAUGAGGACUCGGGACUGGUAUAGUAGUUUCAAUCUCAUUUUAUAUAUUUGAAAGUAUAGUUCCACGUGAGCAUUUUAUGACAAGCAUUUCCCUUGAAGCAUGAGGACUCAAAAAGAGCAAGAGACUGGUAUAGUAGUUUCAAUCUCGUUUUAUAUAUUUGAAAGUAUAGUUCCAUGUGAAACAGGAUAUGCUAAAAGACUGGUAACUAGAUUUUUAUCUAAGACCUUUGGAUUUGUAAUACAUUUUCAGUCUUUUUUUUCAAGAAAUAAUCUGUUUUUUUGAUUAUUUGGUUUGUAACCAUAUUGAAUUAUUGAUUGACUAUGAUAUUCACACCUUGGGAUUCAAUAGUUCGAGUCUCAGGAAAAGACAAUUUUUGUUAUAUUACCUCAUAGUUAAUUGUUGAUUAUUGUUGCUGUAGGCAUCCUCUUAACAAUCACAUGAUAUCAUAUCAUACAACUCAUAGCUUAUUAAAAGCCAAUUGAAAUGAUACAGUGUGGUUUUGUGUGACAAUAAAAUCUAUGGCACGUACAUUAUCAACUCGUCAUAUAGGAUAUCCACCUGGCAUGUCACCCUAAAGGCUCAUGCUAUGAUAUUCGAGAAUCAAAAACCUAGUCUGAGUAUUUUAAAUGCAUUGUUUCCCACUCAUAAUAUUUCUAGAUGAUCAAAACAUGACACCUCUCCCCCUCAAUUCCACCUUUAUUUUGAUUCAGUCUACAAUUGAAGACAGAAUGCCAAAUAAUUGACCAAUUAGAUAAGAAUACAAACAGACAGAUGACUCCAUGAUGUUAAACCAUGGAGAAUGAUGGCUACUAUUAGUAGCUUGGACAAUGUAGAAUUUUACACUAUUUAUAUAAUUAUUAGGCAAUAUUAAAUACCAUUAAAUUCAACAAGAAAAAUUUUGGGCAAGAUUGGAAAAAUUAUUCCAAAAAUAUAUGAUUUUUCUGAAGAAAAGGAAUUUCUUUUAGAAAUUGUACAGAGAAAUCUAUACCUUUGCCAUUUAUCCAUGCUUUUCAAUCUGUCAACCAAAUGUACUUCACUUUUUGCAGACAAAUAAGACCAAUUCUCUAAAUAUCAAGAUACUAUAGAAACAACCAGCAUAAAAUUCAAAAAGAAAAAAGAGAAACAUUUUAAUAUCAAACACUGAAAAAAGGAGAAGCAUGACUAAUAUUAAGCAUUUUACGCCACUGUAGCUUUGUGUUAACCAUAAUAUCUUCCUGAUGACAAAGAUAAAUAUUUCAAAUCCUGCAAUCUGAAGUACUUAUCAUAUAUAAACAGUAGAAGGCAAAUUACCUUUUUGCAUUCCAAAAACAUGGCAACAGCUUGUAAAUUAUGCUCAUCCAAAGAUUCUUUCAUUGACUCCAGCUGUUCAGUAAGGCUGCAGUAGUGUUUAGUGAAGAGUUAGCAACUUAAAACAGCUAAAAUAAGUAUCUUUUUAGUUUUGCAUUCUAAUUUGCCCAGUUGCAUUAUUAAUAAUAAAGACUGACAGCCUGAUGCAGCUAUCUUUACAUGAACUUGGAUGCUUUCAGAACCUCCACUUGCAGUUCCAACUAGGAUGCCAUGAAAUAUUCAGUUUAGGCAUAUCAAGAAUGCAAAGAAUGAGAAUGCUCUUUACACAAUGUAAGUCCAUAAGAUAUCCUUUAAAUAGGUUGCCUGUGUGACAAAUUCCAGUCUUAGCAUUUUAUGCUCAAGGUUGAUAAACUGAUGAAUGCCUUCUAAACACCAGCAUAGAAAAUUUAAAGAGGGUCAAAAGUCAUAAUGCAACAACCUCCCAGCAUUGAAAAAAUCUUUAAGUUCAUGGUGAAAUAUUUUGAACUGUUCGAUAAAUGCUUCACUGUAUUCUCCAGGAGUCUUGGUAAUCUUAGCAAGCAUGGCUUCCGUAGCAAUCAAGUCUUCUGGACCAGCAUUUCGGUGAAGCUUGUUUUGUAUUGUAUGUUUAAUUUCUUGCUGUUAAUUGGAAAAGGAAUAUCAGUAACCAAAAAUAAAUACCAGUCGUAUCAACAAUACUGUAGUGAACGAUGACCUUCAGAUUGUGAGGAAUAUCACUGCGGUGAGCAAUAUCACGAAUUCGUGUUAGAGGAACGGAAGCAGUAAACUCUGAUUUGAAUGAAGGAAGGCAAGGGUGAAUUUUCCGGAUCACAAGUAAAUCCUGUAGACAUAUACAACAGCAAGCUAGUGAAUGAAACACAAAAAAAGAAUAACUAACUUGCAGGAAAUCUGAAAAUGCUAAAGCUACAUAGAAAAGUUAACAACACAUGGAGGAAAAGUCCAAUGGUAUAUGCUACAAUUUCCAUUAGAAAAAAUAAAGUAACAACACAUGGAGGAAAAGUUAACAACACAUGGAGAAAAGUCCAAUGAUGCGCAUAGUGGCUUAGGCCUAAAUUUUUUUAAAAAAAAAAAGAGAAAUAAGUAACCUUUAAUGCAUACUCAUAAGCUUAAAAAGGAGAAAUGGUAGGAUUCUACAUGGAUUUAAGCUCAAAUUAAUUUUCUCAAAUAUUCAUAUGAAUAUUAUUUUUGAGGGGUUGAGAAGAAAAGUAGCGGAAACCUCUCUGCCGCUUUCAUUUACAGUUGUGAAGGCCUUCUCGAGCCUUCCCAACUUCAAUCUGAUGCUUUAAAGCAUCAGACAAGUGCAUAGUGAGAGGCCUGGUUCGGAACCAGGUUGACUCGGUGCGAACCGGCCGAUUUGCACCAAGUUUGAACUGAACCGGCCGGUUUCGAUCGGUUCAGGACCAGUUCUGGCCAGUUCGGUAUAGAUUCCGGCCGGUACACGGCCAGAACUGAAAAUAAUAAGCGAACCAACCCGGUACCAAAAAUAAUAAGCAAACUGACCCGGUACCGAAAAUAAUAAGCGAAUCGACCAAGUUUUGCACCGAGUCGAAUCGGGUCGGCUCUGCCCGAACCGGGUGGUUUGGCCCGGUUCGGCAGAUAUUGACUAAGACAAUAACGAACUCUACUUGAAGCAUACUACCUGAAUGCUCGAUUUUAGUACACUAUAGCCAGAAUCGAUAUGGAUGACGAACUUCUGGCCGUUCUGCGUAAUGUGAUUUACAAAAUAAAGCCUGAUCCAAAAGUCGCGGCCCUAUGUCUAGAAGAGGUAAGUUAACUUAAGUGACAUGUGUAAGUUAACUGGUAUCUUAAAUUAUUAACAUAUUACAACAUGGUUCUUUUUCACAGACCAAAAUAUUUAGAGAGGGCACUGAUAGCUUUGGAGUCUCCGCAAUUGUCGUAAGAAAAGUAUGAAUUCUGGUAUAUUACACAUCAGGACAUUUACCUAGUGUUACACGCUUACUAAUAUAAUACUAUCUUAUAUGUAAUUUUCUUCAAUAUUUUUGCAACUGAAUGGUGGAUUCAUUUUGGUUUUGUUCGCAAAAAAUCUUAAGCGGCUAGCUAUCCGGAUCUUCCCAGAUGGUCUCCUUAAGUGGCUGUGAGUGCAACUGGUCAAUUUUCGCCCUCAUCUAAAGCAUACAGAGGAAACGUUUGACAUAGAAGCGCCUCAACAACCUUGUAUAUAUUCACUACAAUCUAAGGUUGAGGCUAAAGUGCAUUUAGGAGGAAGUGGAGCUAAAGUACACAGAUCCAAUCCAUAGUGCUUUUGUUGAUGAUAAGGACGAUCCUAUGAUCGAAUAGCUUGUGGGGCAGCAGAAGGAGCCGAAGCUUAAUAAGCGAGGAUCGCCUCUAUGACCGGUUAGUUUCGUAGCCAACGAGACUAAGGUCGAUGUAGGGCAAUGGGCAGAGAGAAAUAUUUCACGCAUCCUUCUAGCUGAUUCAGCCACGCCACAGCCACAGCCACAGAAGAGCCGAUCACCACAUGACUCUCUGUUCGAGACAUCCUCUCAGAGAUAUGUUCGAGAGAUGCUUAGACGAGGCCACUACGCUACCAGAUUGACUCGAUCAGGAGGAUGACAUACAUUCUUCCAACAUAGCUAGGCAGAGAGGGGCCCGAAAGAUAAGUAGGCAGAGAGUGACACAAAGGGUAAACAGACAACGAGUGGUACAAAGGGUAAGAAGGCAGCUUGUCUAGCACACUAAAAAAGAAAAACAAAGAGUACCUGCAGCCCCAAUGGAGUGUGGAGCUAGUUCACUCAGAUUCAGAUAUCAGGAGCAGCAGUUCUGAUGGUCAUUGAUAUGCUGGCCAGAAAGAGAGUGAAGGACAUGAGACCACCGUUUAUGAGACACAACCUCAGGAUGGUAUUCGAUUCACCGGUGAGUCCCCGUUUACGCAUACCACACAGGAUAGGAACCACAGUGCACAAUCUGAUGGAGCCUGUGAGGAUUCAAUUGCACAUAGAAGACGGGCUCCUCGAGGUCAUUCAGGAGGACAGGAUAUAGCAGUAGAUGAUCUCGCAUGUAGAGUAGGAUCUAUAGACGUAUUAGGUUUCGAAUUGUAUACUGGAUUUUAUUAUCGUAGCCACAGACAGCCUAUAACCUAUACGGGUACGGAUAUGGAUAUGGUGCGUCUGAGACAUCUUCCGAUGGCUACUACCCUACACAGCCUGGAGUAUUUUACGGGUCAGAUUUUGCUGUCGGCUUAUUCGGAUGGGCCCCUUCAUAGCCGGUUUAUCAGCCAGUUUAUCAGCCAAAGGACACCUCUUAGAGCCAGACCUUCAGUGAGAGAUCCUAAAGUGCUUAUAACCCGGAGUGUCUUUCUUAUGGGAUAAACAUAUAAGACUAAAAUAUCGUUUAAUUAAAGAGGUGAACUAAUGUACCUCUUGACUAUGCUAAUGAUCUAAAUAUCUACGAGAAGCAUCACCAUUCAACGAGAUUUUAAAUAUUGACGUGUGUUGUACUUUAAAUAUAUGUAAUUUAUUGUAUUAUUUUAUAUUUUUACCUCGCUACUUGAUUUGAGGAUAUUUUAUGUUGUUUCUUAUAGCAUGCAACAUCUCACUAAUCAUUUUAUAUUUUGUAUCGUUUUAAAAUAAUAAGAUGCAUUAUUCAGGUUAAAUCGAAAUCACAAAAACAUCAAAAAAUAUGAAAAAAAUAUUAAAAUACAUCAAAAACAUCAAAUUAGACUUAAAAUCGUUGAAAAGUUCAAAAAGAUUGAUUACCAAUUAAAUCAACUUGAAAAAAUUCAAAAAAAAUGGAUGAAUCGGCACGCCCAAGCACUGUCGGUACGGUACUGGUCGGCACCGUACCGACCCAUCCGCCGACCGGUACGGAUUCCGAUACCAGUUCGGCAGACCUUGAUAAAUACAUUUUGCAUGCCUACUUAAAUUCAAGAUUCGUUGUCUCGGUACUGAGCCUCGUACCGAUGCCACACUAGCCCAGCAUCGGUAUGGUACAAUAUGAAAUUUUUUGAACCGAGUGUUAGUACACCACCCGUACCGGAUACCGGUACUGAAUCAGUACGAUAUGGUGCGCCCUGUACAGCUCAAUUCGGGCCGAUAUAGCAUACCGUGCUUAAAUUCCAUUUCAUGGUAAAAACGACAUCAAAACUAUGAUAAAAUUACAAAUUAGACAGCACCUAUCAAAAUAAUAAGUGAAAACAAAGAAAAAUGAGAACAAAAAAGGAAAAAACAACAAAAAAUAAGAAAAUGGUGUAUCGAUCAAUUGACCAGUAUGCCAAGGCAUACUUAAUAUCGGUACGAUACCGAACCGGUACCUACCAUACCAUUGGCCAACUGGUACGAGCUCUAGUCUGGUUUGGCAAUUUUUAGUCAAAACUUUGUACACUGGAGGCAAGAGCUACUCUUGAGAAAGCAUCGAAUGUAGUUUGGCCCAUGCUUUCCUACCUUCUCUCUCUAGUUCUUUAAAUAGGUUUCUAAAUUCAGUAAUAUAUUCUUCAAAAAAAUGAAAAUAUUUGUUAAGAAUUAAUCAGAGAUCUUACUUUGGUCAUGUUGCACCUGACACAUCACAAUGAAAAUUGCAUAUAGCAUGCUCAACUUUGAAGAGUAGCUUAACAAGGUUCGCCCACUCGGUACCAAACCCCAUACCAACACUACCUUGAUAUAGUGUCAGUACACCUAGUACGGGGUCGAUUCAACAUACUAAGACUCGAAUGCCCCCCAUAUCGUGUAUUGGCUCAGUACAAGUAUGGUAUGGUACAUCCAAUAUGCACUGGUACCAACCAAUACAGCAUACCAUACUUAAACUAGAUAACAUAGAAAUAGCCAUAUAACAAGACAUGUUGAUAUAUUAUGUUCAUAAUCUUUCUAAUAUAUCUCAUGAUAAAAUUAUUGUCUAUCCUUGUAAUUUGAACAGGCUUGUAGUUUAAAAAUCAUCAUUCCAAAACCUAUAAAAUAAUGUGGAGUUGUGGACCAUUGAGGUUUAUUUGAGGCAUUAGACAACUUAUAAAGGAUUUCUGAUACCAUUUGUGCAUAUUCUCUUAACACCUACAGAAGAAAUUACGGAUUAAAGAAUGCAUAAUGAAAGUAAAGAUACAGUUAGGGACUUUAAAUGCAUCACAUUGUGACACAAUGAGAUUCUUGUUUCAUUACUCCCUCACAUACUCAAGAUCUUUGCUAGGAAGCCAAUAGAUCUCCAAAAUAUGUUCUUUACCCUUCUGCUAAUUACAAAUAGCAAAAGUAAGUGAGAAAUAAAAGGGAAAAGGAAAACUUCUUUUCGAUUAAACAAGCAAUAUAAAAUGGUUAUGCUAAACAAAAAACAGGAUUGUUAUUCUUCCCUUGGAACUACCACUACAAAACAGCGAUUCUUUGACUCUUCUAAAAGAUGCUUUAGGAAAAAACUAAAAUAACCUACCAUCAAUCAGCACAAGGUAGAUUAUAAAUUAUAACAUUCUAAUCUAAUAGCUGGCAUAUAUGAACUGAAGGAGACACAUACUGGGAUAUCUUUUCCCUAACAUAGCUAACCAACAUAAAUUAUGCAAACACAUAUUCAUAUGCAUACAUAUAGAGAUAAAUACAAAUAAAUAUCACAAUGAUAGCUAAAAUAAUUAAUUUUUAUAAGGAUUAUUGUACCGGUUCCGGGCACCAUAUCAGCACCUUAUUAAUAUGGUACAGGUUGGUGCAUCACCCUUGUACUGGCACAUGGUAAACUGUGACAAGUGAGAUGGCAGAUGUACCAUAUGUCCAUAGGACUACCAAACUAGCCAAUUCAAGACAUACCGAACCAGACCAUCCAGUUACUGGCACAGUUCAACACUUUGGUUCGAUAUAUACGAGGUGGCCAGUUGAAGCCCUCCUGUUCGAAGCCCUAAUCAUGAUUACACUAUUCAAAACCCUCCCCAACUGCUUAAGGUGAGUCCCUCUCUCUCUCCCUCCCUCCCUCUAUCCCUUCCCCCCCUCUCGAUUUGAAGUCGUCAUUCAAAAGCCCUCCCUAUUUGAAAGCCCUAAUCACCGAUCCCCCCAUUCAAAACCCUCCACGAAGCCCUCAGUCGCUCGAGCAAGUCCCUCUCUCCCCCUCUCCAACACUCCCCC